Long non-coding RNA from Echinops telfairi (small Madagascar hedgehog), 345 nucleotides. RefSeq lists it as uncharacterized. The record is from RefSeq and is a predicted model, not a curated record. The transcript has 3 exons. Lineage: Eukaryota; Metazoa; Chordata; Mammalia; Afrosoricida; Tenrecidae.
GCUCGGGCUCCGCCGCUCGUUGCUGCUCUGCCGUGGUCCUUGCUGCUUGUUUCCGAACUGCUGGAGGAUAGGAAUCAUGAAAUUCAAUCAAUUGCCUAGUGUGCUUGGACGCCCCUCUAAGUCCACCACAGAAAUAGAGGGCAGCCACUCAAAGGGGACUGAGCUUGCCCCCAGAAGACCCAGAAACCCGGGUGCCUCCUGCCACAGGGACUGCGUCCCUACCCAAUUAAGCAAGCACACGUGCUGCCGCCCGCUGGAGCCCUGCAAGUGUCACCAGUGUGCCCUCAUCUCGGAUUACCAAAGAACUUUGCCUGCUGAGAGGGUCUUCACGAAGGAGAAGGAGCG